GACGAACGCUGGCGGCGUGCCUAACACAUGCAAGUCGAGCGGAGUCGAUCGACGGAAGCCUUCGGGCGGAAGAUGGUUGACUUAGCGGCGGAUGGGUGAGUAACGCGUGGGCAACCUGCCUCGAAGACCGGGAUAACAGCCCGAAAGGGCUGCUAAUACCGGAUGUGGCCAAGGAUCCGCAUGGAUUUUUGAUUAAAGGGGAAACCCGUUUCGAGAUGGGCCCGCGUCCUAUCAGCUAGUUGGUGAGGUAAAAGCUCACCAAGGCGACGACGGGUAGCCGGCCUGAGAGGGUGACCGGCCACACUGGAACUGAGACACGGUCCAGACUCCUACGGGGGGCAGCAGUGGGGAAUCUUCCACAAUGGGCGAAAGCCUGAUGGAGCGACGCCGCGUGAGCGAAGAAGGCCUUCGGGUUGUAAAGCUCUGUCUGGAGGGACGAAGGAAGUGACGGUACCUCCGGAGGAAGCCACGGCUAACUACGUG
RNAcentral lists this ribosomal RNA (483 nucleotides) under uncultured bacterium. RNAcentral's name for it is "bacterial SSU rRNA". It matches the Rfam family "Bacterial small subunit ribosomal RNA", at positions 28 to 507 of the family's 1533-position model. The record is from RNAcentral.